RNAcentral lists this long non-coding RNA (271 nucleotides) under Brassica napus (rape). RNAcentral's name for it is "long non-coding RNA (BNAP_LNC007552)". The record is from RNAcentral. Lineage: Eukaryota; Viridiplantae; Streptophyta; Magnoliopsida; Brassicales; Brassicaceae.
UGAUGGGUAAGAGUUUUGGGGUUAUAGUUUAGGGGUUAGAGGUUUGGUGUUUUGCGAAGUGAUUUAAACAAGGCCACGCUAACUUCCGUGGCUACACAGUGGCUAUGAUAAAUCCAAUCGGUUUGGCUCCAAUUUAUUUGGUUUUGGCUCCACAAUUGUUUUUUAUUUCGCGGUUGAUAUUAAACCAAAGCCACUGUAAUUUCGUGGGCUUUUCGUGGCUAUGACGAAAUUUGGCAAAACCAUUCGGUUUGGCUCUAAUUUUUUGGUUUUG